AGCUCCAAUAGCGUAUAUUAAAGUUGUUGCAGUUAAAAAGCUCGUAGUUGGAUUUGUGGUGUGUCCAGUCGGCCUUUGCUCUUUGAGUGAUAGUGCUGAACUGGUCUGCCAUGUUUGGGUGGAAUCUGUGUGGCAUUAAGUUGUCGUGCAGGGGAUGCCCAUCGUUUACUGUGAAAAAAUUAGAGUGUUCAAAGCAGGCUUAUGCCUUGAAUAUAUUAGCAUGGAAUAAUAAUAUAGGACCUUAGUACUAUUUUGUUGGUUUGCGCACUGAGGUAAUGAUUAAGAGGGACAGUUGGGGGUAUUUGUAUUCCAUUGUCAGAGGUGAAAUUCUUGGAUUUUUGGAAGACAAACUGUUGCAAACUACUGCGAAAGCAUUUACCAAGGAUGUUUUCA
This 393-nucleotide ribosomal RNA is filed under the name uncultured eukaryote. RNAcentral's name for it is "SSU rRNA". It matches the Rfam family "Eukaryotic small subunit ribosomal RNA", at positions 587 to 972 of the family's 1831-position model. The record is from RNAcentral.